UAUUAAAAUUGUUGCAGUUAAAAGCUCGUAGUUGAAUUUCUGCUAAAAAUAACCGGUCUGCUUUUAAUAAAGGUGGUAUCUUGGUGUGUUUUUAGCAAUAAUGUCCUUUGAAAUGUUUUUUACUUUAUUGUAAUAAAUUAUAUUCAGGAUUUUUACUUUGAGAAAAUUAGAGUGUUUCUAGCAGGCUAACGCUUUGAAUACUGCAGCAUGGAAUAAUAAAAUAGGAUUUUGGUUCUACAUUAUUGGUUUUAAGAGCUAAAUUAAUGAUUGAUAGGGACAGUUGGGGGCAUUUGUAUUUAACUGUCAGAGGUGAAAUUCUUAGAUUUGUUAAAGACAAACUACUGCGAAAG
Molecule: ribosomal RNA, 350 nt
Filed under: Hepatozoon felis
Lineage: Eukaryota; Apicomplexa; Hepatozoidae
Description: SSU rRNA
Rfam family: Eukaryotic small subunit ribosomal RNA
Source: RNAcentral